CAAACAGGAAACCAGAGAGAGAACACCGAAUUCAAUUCAGGGUAGAUCUAGUCAUCUGAUGAGCUGUCACAAAUAUGCUUCACUUCUGAGAUGAACCAACCGACGCCAGAGGGGAGGAGGAGUCUGCAGCUGAACCACACUCGGACUGAAGGCCAGUGUCCUCCAAACCAACUGCGUAAUUCCUCUUCCAAGAAUGAGGAUGACUCAUUAUCAUUCACAAAUGACAAAUUCUGAACUUGCUGUUUCCAUCAUUUCCACUCAGCAUCCUUUCUUCUAGGACAGGACUGGACAAGGGUCACCUUCCUUCUAGAUCAGGGGACAGGUUCCUCAGGUUCCAUCAGCCAUGUGGUCUCUGCCCCACGCACUGGAACUCGGCCUUACAGUGGAGAUGCAGCCAAGACAGCAGACCACAGGGCUAUGUCGCAAUAAAGCUUUAUUUAUGGACAAUG
Dipodomys spectabilis (banner-tailed kangaroo rat) is the source of this 449-nucleotide long non-coding RNA. RefSeq lists it as uncharacterized. The record is from RefSeq and is a predicted model, not a curated record. NCBI's taxonomy places the organism in Eukaryota, Metazoa, Chordata, Mammalia, Rodentia, Heteromyidae. The transcript is spliced from 2 exons.